AGACAAUUAGUUUAAGAAAAACCCUUGAUUUCGGCUCAAAAGCUUAUGGUUAAAGUCCAUAAUUAUCUA
Molecule: transfer RNA, 69 nt
Filed under: Opisthocentrus ocellatus
Lineage: Eukaryota; Metazoa; Chordata; Actinopteri; Perciformes; Stichaeidae
Also listed under: 1 other name
Description: tRNA-Arg
Rfam family: tRNA
About the family: Transfer RNA (tRNA) molecules are approximately 80 nucleotides in length. Their secondary structure includes four short double-helical elements and three loops (D, anti-codon, and T loops).
Source: RNAcentral